RNAcentral lists this ribosomal RNA (216 nucleotides) under Glomeromycotina sp. Its description in RNAcentral is "partial small subunit ribosomal RNA". The stretch from base 40 to 216 matches the Rfam family "Eukaryotic small subunit ribosomal RNA", at positions 686 to 864 of the family's 1831-position model. Lineage: Eukaryota; Fungi; Glomeromycota. The record is from RNAcentral.
GGGUCAGUAGGUUGGUCGUGCCACCGGUACGUACUGGUCUAACUGAUUCCUCCUUCCUGAAGAACCGUAAUGCCAUUAAUUUGGUGUUGCGGGGAAACAGGACUGUUACUUUGAAAAAAUUAGAGUGUUUAAAGCAAGCUAACGAUUGAAUACAUUAGCAUGGAAUAAUGAAAUAGGACGAUCGAUGCUAUUUUGUUGGUUUCUAGGAUUGACGUA